Long non-coding RNA from Heterocephalus glaber (naked mole-rat), 1914 nucleotides. The record is from Ensembl. NCBI's taxonomy places the organism in Eukaryota, Metazoa, Chordata, Mammalia, Rodentia, Bathyergidae.
AUUUUGUUGCCCUUCAUUGCAUUUGUUUUAUGUCUUGUGUCUGUUUUCUGUGACAGCUGUGCACUGAGUUACACAACUAUCAGACAGAUUUGCAUUCUUUCAUGAGAGAGCAAUGCUGACCAAUGGUGGAACUGUGUGAUGUUGCAGCCUUGGGAGGAGGCACAAGGAUAAUUUUGAUGCUGAUGGUCUCUGUAGAUUCAACCUGCUCUUGGAUCUUUAACAUACUGUGGCACUAGAAAUCAAGAAGUUACCAUUAACUGCAUGGUCACCUGACUUGUAGGAGGUCAAGGAAAUAAAGAUGUGAACAGACAAAAAACCCCAAGAGGGGCUCAGAGAGGGAGUGCUGAGAGCAUCUGUUCUGAGAAACUGCUGUUCAAAAUGGAAGGAAAUACACAAAGCCAAGAGGAACCUCCGUCGUGAGAAGAGCUGAGAGGACACAUUGUUAUUUGCUGGUGCUGAUACCAAUAAAAACAUCUUCCAUUUGGAAUAUGAUCAUUACAUCACAAGUCACAUCAUGGGCGAGAUGAAGAACAAUGCCUGUAGGACUCUUAGAAAAGCCAUCUCCAUGAGCCACUGCCUCCUUCUCAGCACCAGUAUUCUGGAAAGAGCACACCUCAUAAAGUCCUCCUGAAGGGCAGAGAUGCUGGGGAAUUUAUCCACCAACUCUUUCCCCUGUGGGCUCAGAGGAGCUCCUGAACAUGGACAUCAGCUUCCUGUCACUGGAACAGAGCCUUCUAAAAGAAAUGGUUCAUUUUGGCUCAUGAUUUGGGAGGUUAUGCUCAUCACACAUUUGGGCCUGAGAGGAGGUAGAACAUUGCACUGAGAGUGCAUGGUAAAGCAAAGCUGCUCACCUCAGGGCCAGGAAGUGAAAAAGAGGGGGUGGGGUUACACAGUCCUCUCUGGGACUCUAAGCAACGUAAGGACCUGGGACUUGGCCCGACCUGGAGUUCCCACUGUCUCCCAGUGUGCCAGCCAGGGACCAAGCCUUUAACACAUGGGGCACUUUGGAGGACACUCAAUAUCUGAACUACAGUGAUGAGACAAGCCUGCCCUGUCCAGAGAACACCCUCAGGCAGGGCAAGGACAGAGGCUUUUGGCUGUGGGCAACCUGCCUGUUGGGACCACAGGAUGAAGGGAUGUUGUAAGGCAUAGGCAGCUCUGCUGCAGGGACUGUGCCUUCCCCUUUUGGCAUCCUCAGUACUGAGACCACAUCUGGAAGUUCAUGAACACUCAGCAAAUGUUCAAUGAACACAGGAAUGGGUGAGGAAUGCAUGCACAGAAAGCUUAUUUUUUUCAAUUGUUAUUGUUUUGUUAGUACACGUUUGCAGUACAUAAUAAUUACUUUCCUUGUGGAGCGUUGCUACAUCUCAAGGUGUGCGUGACACAUCUCAAUUCUUUUUUCAUCCCCUUAUCCUCCUCCUCCUCACUCCUUCCAUCUCAUGCUCCCCCUCCUUAUUUGCAAAAGAUCUAUCUCCCUAUUUCCUACUAUCUAUCUUUUAUUUUGCACUUUACUUAUAUUUCAAGUUUCACAUGUAAGAGAAACUGUAUGAUAUUUAAGCUUGUGUAUCUGGUUCACCUCAAUCAACAUUAUGGUCUCAAGAUGUAUCCGUUUUGGGCUGUUGUACCACCCCCACCAGGACAGAGGAGGUGAGCUGCACAGGCACCAGCAGCAACAUCCCUCUCCCCCCCCCCCCCCGUCUAAAUGAGAGACAUGUAAAGAAGUCUCAAAAACAGACUUCCAGAUCACCUACAGCAACCCCAAAGGGAAACAAAAUGGAACACUCUGAUACUCAACCUGGACUCCCUGAACUGGCAACAAAAGAGGAUCUGUAAAAAAUUACAUUAGAAAUAAUUUCUCAGAUAACAGCAGAGAUUGUGCUCAUAGUGCAACACAUGAUUAAUAAAUCUAGAGAG